This 247-nucleotide ribosomal RNA is filed under the name Chaetonotus environmental sample. RNAcentral describes it as "partial large subunit ribosomal RNA". It matches the Rfam family "Eukaryotic large subunit ribosomal RNA", at positions 40 to 263 of the family's 3401-position model. Lineage: Eukaryota; Metazoa; Gastrotricha; Chaetonotida; Chaetonotidae. The record is from RNAcentral.
AUAUCACUAAGCGGAGAAAAAGAAAUAACAAUGAUUCCUACAGUAACGGCGAGUGAAGUAGGAUAAGCCCAUAGCCGAAUUCCGCUGUCCUCGACGGCAGCUGGAAGUUGUGGCGUUGGGAACUGCCUAUUGUAACCGAUCGGUCGGGCUACGCGACUCCUCUUGAUUGUGGUUUGCCUAUAGCAGGUGAAAGGCCUAUUGGUCGUAGCCUCGUGCAGAAGACCGGCGGUGAUGGCAGUCCCUUAGA